RNAcentral lists this ribosomal RNA (510 nucleotides) under uncultured bacterium. RNAcentral describes it as "bacterial SSU rRNA". It matches the Rfam family "Bacterial small subunit ribosomal RNA", at positions 965 to 1475 of the family's 1533-position model. The record is from RNAcentral.
AGAACCUACCAAGUCUUGACAUCCCUCUGACCGACUCUUAACCGAGUCUUUCCUUCGGGACAGAGGAGACAGGUGGUGCAUGGUUGUCGUCAGCUCGUGUCGUGAGAUGUUGGGUUAAGUCCCGCAACGAGCGCAACCCCUAUCCCCAGUAGCCAGCAGUUCGGCUGGGCACUCUGAGGAGACUGCCAGGGAUAACCUGGAGGAAGGCGGGGAUGACGUCAAAUCAUCAUGCCCCUUAUGAUUUGGGCUACACACGUGCUACAAUGGCGUAAACAAAGGGAAGCAAGCCUGCGAAGGUAAGCAAAUCCCAAAAAUAACGUCCCAGUUCGGACUGCAGUCUGCAACUCGACUGCACGAAGCUGGAAUCGCUAGUAAUCGCGGAUCAGAAUGCCGCGGUGAAUACGUUCCCGGGUCUUGUACACACCGCCCGUCACACCAUGGGAGUCAGUAACGCCCGAAGUCAGUGACCUAACUGUAAAGAAGGAUGCUGCCGAAGGCGGGACCGAUGAC